Molecule: ribosomal RNA, 507 nt
Filed under: uncultured bacterium
Lineage: Bacteria
Description: partial 16S ribosomal RNA
Rfam family: Bacterial small subunit ribosomal RNA
Source: RNAcentral
GAUGAACGCUGGCGGCAUGCCUAACACAUGCAAGUCGAACGGCAGCACAGUAUGUAGCAAUACAUAUGUGUGGCGAGUGGCGGACGGGUGCGUAAUAUGUAGGGAUCUGCCCUGAAGCGGGGGACAACCCGGGGAAACCCGGGCUAAUACCGCAUAAUACUCUACGGAGGAAAUCUGGCACGCAAGUGCUGGGGCUUUAGGAUGAACCUACAUCCGAUUAGCUAGUUGGUGAGGUAAUAGCUCACCAAGGCAAUGAUCGGUAGCUGGUCUGAGAGGAAGACCAGCCACACUGGGACUGGGACACGGCCCAGACUCCUACGGGAGGCAGCAGUGGGGAAUAUUGGACAAUGGGGGAAACCCUGAUCCAGCAAUGCCGCGUGGGUGAAGAAGGCCUUCGGGUUGUAAAGCCCUUUAGGCGGGGAAGAAGGUUAUAGGGUGAUAAGCCUUAUAGCUUGACGGUAUCCGCAGAAUAAGCACCGGCUAACUCUGUGCCAGCCGCCGCAGUAA